RNAcentral lists this ribosomal RNA (420 nucleotides) under uncultured bacterium. RNAcentral's name for it is "bacterial SSU rRNA". It matches the Rfam family "Bacterial small subunit ribosomal RNA", at positions 355 to 792 of the family's 1533-position model. The record is from RNAcentral.
UGGGGGAUAUUGCACAAUGGGGGAAACCCUGAUGCAGCGACGCCGCGUGGAGGAAGAAGGUUUUCGGAUUGUAAACUCCUGUCGUACGGGACGAUAAUGACGGUACCGUACAAGAAAGCACCGGCUAACUACGUGCCAGCAGCCGCGGUAAAACGUAGGGUGCAAGCGUUGUCCGGAAUUACUGGGUGUAAAGGGAGCGCAGGCGGGAGAUCAAGUUGGAGGUGAAAACCACGGGCUCAACCCGUGACCUGCCUUCAAAACUGAUUUUCUUGAGUAGUGCAGAGGUAGGCGGAAUUCCCGGUGUAGCGGUGGAAUGCGUAGAUAUCGGGAGGAACACCAGUGGCGAAGGCGGCCUACUGGGCACCAACUGACGCUGAGGCUCGAAAGCAUGGGUAGCAAACAGGAUUAGAUACCCUGGUA